This 72-nucleotide transfer RNA is filed under the name Phrynosoma platyrhinos (Desert horned lizard). Its description in RNAcentral is "tRNA-OTHER". The record is from RNAcentral. Lineage: Eukaryota; Metazoa; Chordata; Lepidosauria; Squamata; Phrynosomatidae.
GUACAUGUGGUGUAGUGGUUUGAGUGUUGGACUAGGGCUCUAGCGACCAGGGUUCAAAUCCCAGCUUGGCCA